UGGCUUUGUUGACCGGGAGAAACGAGAUGGGGGUGAAGCUGGAGAUAUUUCGGUGAUAAUCUACCUCACUUUCCCUGUGGCUAUGUUCUGGGUUUCCAAUCAGGCCGAGUGGUUUGAGGACGAUGUCAUACAGCGCAAGGGGAGCUGUGGCCACCUGAGAAGUUCAAGAGAUAGAGGAAUUCAAAGAGAGGUUACGGAAGCGGCGGGAGGAGAAGCUCCUUCGCGACGCCCAGCAGAACUCCUGAGGCCUCCAAGUGGGAGUCCUAGCCCCUCCCCUG
RNAcentral lists this long non-coding RNA (278 nucleotides) under Homo sapiens (human). RNAcentral's name for it is "long non-coding RNA NONHSAT060826.2". Lineage: Eukaryota; Metazoa; Chordata; Mammalia; Primates; Hominidae. The record is from RNAcentral.